This 530-nucleotide ribosomal RNA is filed under the name uncultured Sphingobacterium sp. Its description in RNAcentral is "bacterial SSU rRNA". It matches the Rfam family "Bacterial small subunit ribosomal RNA", at positions 9 to 524 of the family's 1533-position model. The record is from RNAcentral. Lineage: Bacteria; Pseudomonadati; Bacteroidota; Sphingobacteriia; Sphingobacteriales; Sphingobacteriaceae.
GAGUUUGAUCUUGGCUCAGGAUGAACGCUAGCGGCAGGCUUAAUACAUGCAAGUCGAGGGGCAGCACGUCCCGCAGCGAUGCGGGAUGGUGGCGACCGGCAAACGGGUGCGGAACACGUACGCAACCUUCCCAGAACAGGUGAAUAGCCCUCCGAAAGGAGGAUUAAUACGCCGUAAUAUAUAGAGGUGGCAUCAUUUUUAUAUUAAAGGUCGCGAGACCGGUUUUGGAUGGGCGUGCGCCUGAUUAGGUAGUUGGUGGGGUAAAGGCCCACCAAGCCUUCGAUCAGUAACUGGUGUGAGAGCACGACCAGUCACACGGGCACUGAGACACGGGCCCGACUCCUACGGGAGGCAGCAGUAAGGAAUAUUGGUCAAUGGACGGAAGUCUGAACCAGCCAUGCCGCGUGAAGGAUGAAGGCCCUCUGGGUUGUAAACUUCUUUUAUCUGGGACGAAAAAAGGGAAUUUUUUCUCACUUGACGGUACCAGAGGAAUAAGCACCGGCUAACUCCGUGCCAGCAGCCGCAGUAAC